AAAUUUAGGCUAUUAUUUAAACCAAGGACCUUCAAAGUCCUAAAAAAGGACACCCCCUUAAUUUCU
Molecule: transfer RNA, 66 nt
Filed under: Cnemaspis flavigaster
Lineage: Eukaryota; Metazoa; Chordata; Lepidosauria; Squamata; Gekkonidae
Description: tRNA-Trp
Source: RNAcentral